AAAUUGAAGAGUUUGAUCAUGGCUCAGAUUGAACGCUGGCGGCAGGCCUAACACAUGCAAGUCGAACGGUAACAGGAAUCAGCUUGCUGAUUCGCUGACGAGUGGCGGACGGGUGAGUAAUGUCUGGGAAACUGCCUGAUGGAGGGGGAUAACUACUGGAAACGGUAGCUAAUACCGCAUAAUGUCGCAAGACCAAAGAGGGGGACCUUCGGGCCUCUUGCCAUCGGAUGUGCCCAGAUGGGAUUAGCUUGUUGGUGAGGUAACGGCUCACCAAGGCGACGAUCCCUAGCUGGUCUGAGAGGAUGACCAGCCACACUGGAACUGAGACACGGUCCAGACUCCUACGGGAGGCAGCAGUGGGGAAUAUUGCACAAUGGGCGCAAGCCUGAUGCAGCCAUGCCGCGUGUAUGAAGAAGGCCUUCGGGUUGUAAAGUACUUUCAGCGGGGAGGAAGGGAGUAAAGUUAAUACCUUUGCUCAUUGACGUUACCCGCAGAAGAAGCACCGGCUAACUCCGUGCCAGCAGCCGCGGUAAUACGGAGGGUGCAAGCGUUAAUCGGAAUUACUGGGCGUAAAGCGCACGCAGGCGGUUUGUUAAGUCAGAUGUGAAAUCCCCGGGCUCAACCUGGGAACUGCAUCUGAUACUGGCAAGCUUGAGUCUCGUAGAGGGGGGUAGAAUUCCAGGUGUAGCGGUGAAAUGCGUAGAGAUCUGGAGGAAUACCGGUGGCGAAGGCGGCCCCCUGGACGAAGACUGACGCUCAGGUGCGAAAGCGUGGGGAGCAAACAGGAUUAGAUACCCUGGUAGUCCACGCCGUAAACGAUGUCGACUUGGAGGUUGUGCCCUUGAGGCGUGGCUUCCGGAGCUAACGCGUUAAGUCGACCGCCUGGGGAGUACGGCCGCAAGGUUAAAACUCAAAUGAAUUGACGGGGGCCCGCACAAGCGGUGGAGCAUGUGGUUUAAUUCGAUGCAACGCGAAGAACCUUACCUGGUCUUGACAUCCACGGAAGUUUUCAGAGAUGAGAAUGUGCCUUCGGGAACCGUGAGACAGGUGCUGCAUGGCUGUCGUCAGCUCGUGUUGUGAAAUGUUGGGUUAAGUCCCGCAACGAGCGCAACCCUUAUCCUUUGUUGCCAGCGGUCCGGCCGGGAACUCAAAGGAGACUGCCAGUGA
This 1167-nucleotide ribosomal RNA is filed under the name Shigella flexneri. RNAcentral describes it as "bacterial SSU rRNA". It matches the Rfam family "Bacterial small subunit ribosomal RNA", at positions 1 to 1158 of the family's 1533-position model. Lineage: Bacteria; Pseudomonadati; Pseudomonadota; Gammaproteobacteria; Enterobacterales; Enterobacteriaceae. The record is from RNAcentral.